AGAGGGCACAACUCCCGGAUAACAGAGCUAGGCUGAGCUGGAGAAACCAACAGCGUUUCAGCAUAUAGGUUUAUCAAGCACACGGCCAGGAAAUGCAAGCAGCAUAGGAGCCUUGGGGGAACGUCAAGAAGGUCUUCACAAAGAAGCAACUUAGCCCAAGAGAGAAACGUGUGUCACAGUCAACAAAGCUGAAAGGAGUUAGAGACGUGAAGAGUUCUAUGAUAUCAAAUAGGAAGAUGCAGAAUUUGGAGUUUGCCGGGCUGGUUUUAGAUUCAGAAGUACAACUCUCUCAAGCUACUUCUUCCGUACCAUGAAGACAAUGCACUAAACCUCACAACUGAAGGCAAACCCAAGCGGUCUGCAAUUUUUAAGAGACAUGAGACUUCUAGAAGAGAUGCUGUUUGGUAUUUAGAACGGAAGCCGGUGGGAGCAGGAGACUGAGGGUCUGCAUGAGAAUGCACCUUAGGCGCAGACAUCUGAACACUCGCUCACGUCCUUCCUCUGUGCUGACAUCUGAAGAUGUGAGUGUUCGGCUUCCUGUUCCUGCCAUCAAGCCUGCCGCGUGCUGCCGUGCCUCCCGCCAUGGUGGAUUCUUAUUCCUCUGGAAGCCUAAGCCCAAAUAAACUCUUCCUUCCAUAA
Rattus norvegicus (Norway rat) is the source of this 639-nucleotide non-coding RNA. Lineage: Eukaryota; Metazoa; Chordata; Mammalia; Rodentia; Muridae. The record is from RefSeq and is a predicted model, not a curated record.